CAGGUUUUGUGAAAUCACUGUAUGUCUCCAUCACGUAUUGAGUUUGCUGGAGAGUGCAAUUGUAGUCUAAGUGGGGAACGUAUGAAUCUGAAGCCGCCAAUACGGCCAUGGUAGAAAGAUCAACUUCAAAAACAAACUCACAAGGAGGAGUAUCCAGCAGGAGUAGCAGCAAUGUGGCAAGAAAUUCAAAAAGGGGCAGACAACAGAACACAUCACCUAGACGCUCUGAAGCUAAUCAACUUGUAUCCCAGAAAAGGUCCACCAACAGGAAUAAAGCAGUGUCGAGCAUUAAGCAACAGCAAAAUGCAAGGGUACGUCGAAACAUCGAAAACGACAAUAUCUGCCUACUGGAAAGGAUUGCUAAAAUAAUGAACCCUCCAAAAACUGGAAUGAUUUCAAGUGCUUAUAAUUUGAAAAGGUAGAAUAUUUGUUUUGUGUUCUGAAUGUGUCUUUUCCCAGUGUUUUCAGAUGAAAGAUACAAGUUGUUAUUUCUUGGACAAAAACUUUUUUUUUUAUUGCUGGAUGAGUAGGCCAUGAAUACUGCUUGCCCCUGAGAGCUGUAUUAUCAUGAGUGGCAAAUUUUUCCAGUUGCUGGCAAUUUUUUCAAUGGACUAAUAAAAUGCAGAAGUAUCCGUGCCAGAUGCAAUGAGUUUAUCAUCAGUAAGGACAAGCUUCCAGCUGCUGAAUAUAUUUAAAAUGGCAGCAACAAAUCUCUUGAGGUUAUCAGAAAAACAACAGGGUCAUUAUUGAGUGAGUAGAGCCAGUUAACAUUAACACGUAGCAUUUUACGAAGCAUUAGGUGGUCUUCACACAUUACCUACAAGUUGAGCUCAAAGUUGUCGAGUACUUUGCUACAUCCACAACAUAGCAACAUAACAUUUUGUCUUAAUGUCUUAAUCAUCCUAAAAGGGAAGACAAAUAGGAGGUUGGAGAAAAUAUGAUUGCCAACCAUUUAAGUUAAGAGAACCUGCUGUGCCAGGAAAAUGAAUGUCAUCGACAUCAGAUCACACAAUGACUAAAACCCUAACUUAACACCCACAGGCAGUUUGCACAUGCUUGAAUGUAAUGAUUGCAAUAUAACAUGAAGUAAUUAUCAUAGCUCAUGGGUCUCCUAUUAUACUUGGCAUUAAUUUCUCUUGCCAGAUCUUGGUUCUGCUUUUAUGCCCAGUUAAGAGCAUGUGUAAUGGAGAGGAUAAUAGGGAAAGAUGAUGAUUUUAAUCAUGGACAGUGUCAGAAAUUUGAAAAAAAAAGUUUCUGACCUCAUCUCAAAAUUGUUCAUUUCAAUAAUUGACAGAAUAUAUUUUGCUGCUUGGCCAAUAAAUUAGUUUGUCUGGAAAUGUAUGACAGAAGUGGGAGCUAUGCAGAUUGCCUAAUGUAUUAAUUCUGCUAAACUCCAACCUUCCAGAAAUGUAUUGAUUUUUGUGUUCCUUACAUUCACAUUGUACUGCACAACUUUACUUCUGUAAUCACGCCUCGGCUACAAAACCUUAUUUCGUUUUAUCACAUUUUAAUGUCAACUUUUCUGUUAUGAAUUUCUACACCCAAUUAUAAUGUAAAUUGGUCAAUUACGUUUCUCCAGUAUUUCAGUGUUGUAUAUACCAGCUCCUUGGCCAAACUGCAGAGAAGUCUCUACACGGCAGCCACUUCUAUUUCUGCUGUAAAUGUUGGUAUUUUAACUAUAAUGAAGCUAUAAAAUAAACUAUAAUGAUACUGUAAAAUCAACAUGUGUAAGAAUAACUAUGUCUACGCAUCUGGCCAAUUACCCCUUCCCUUUUUACUCCUUUUUGCCUGAAAU
Molecule: long non-coding RNA, 1795 nt
Organism: Carcharodon carcharias (great white shark)
Lineage: Eukaryota; Metazoa; Chordata; Chondrichthyes; Lamniformes; Lamnidae
Exons: 4
Source: RefSeq, a predicted model, not a curated record